GGAUUGAUUUCAAAACCAACAAUGUAAAAGGUCAACCAGGCCUAUUGCAUUGCUAAGGAGUAACGAAAACUAUGAACACAACAAACAGGUAACCGGAGACUGUGAUAGCUGGUACGAAAAACGGGAAACAGAUUUUGUGCCUACAGUCAGUCACACAAGGUGAAUACGCCCACAUAAUCACACAUUUUGUCACCUUACACCUCAGCUUGAUCUGUACCCGCUCGCUGUUUGAGUGCUUUGGACUUUUCGUUUUUAUUUUUUUAAUUAAAAAAAAAGUCUGCGGUGACACGCCAUCUCCUCACAGUAUUAAGUGAAAUAGAACAAGAGUGACUUUCGUUGACACGAAACUUUUAAUUAUUCUGAAGUGAGUGCAGUUAAAACUCAUAACGUCACGUUGCGUUUGCAUCCUGCCACCGAACAGAGGGCUCAUUUCAUGGCUGCAAUUGGACUGAGAUAUUAAGCUGAAUUUCAAAGAGACUGUGAUACCUGGUGUAAUUUUACAGGACAGAAGCUGAAGCCCCAGCAGGCACCUAACUGCUCAAGAUGUGGAAAAACCUCCUGCUUUCUGCAGUUGGUCCUGGAAAAAUCGGCACCGUCGCGACAGUCAUCGGGAUAUUCAUUGCCACUGUUCUUCUGCAGACCGCGACGUGCGCUUGCAGAACUUUUGAAUGUAAUGAAAUCGUCGUCGUGCCUUUUUUUUUAGUAUUUUUCCUGGUGCUCCUGAUAGACCAGACAUUUCGGAGCACCGCGAAACAUCCAUCUACGUUUUUAUGCCUUGUACUCAAGCGCGUUAUCAGAGCGUUUCUAAUCAGCCUGCUGUGGAUUGUAGCAUUGUUGGUUUUAACGGACUGGUAUGGUUGUUGUAACAUUGAUGAAAACACGAGUAAGCUGUUCUGCAAAUCUGAGAACCUCACAACCGAACAAGAAGCUCGAAAAGCUGAAGUGGAAAUCAAGUCAAGGCUUUCUGCUUACUCUCUGCUCCUGGGCAUGACUGUUGUCGCUUUCUUCAUGACUUGGAGUGGGUGGAGAAAAUGGUUUGAAGAAAAAUACAGUUGGUGCAACAAGAAAACUUUUUACUACAAACUGAUUUUGGAAGAAGAGAAAAAAGUUCUGGAGGAGCUUUUGAGGAAAGAAGCAAAUGAGACUUUGACUAAAGAAAUCACGAGCAACAUAAAAAGGAAAGACUGGGACGGCUGUUUUAACGUUGCUCAACAAAUGAUCAGUAAUGCAAAACAUCAAAAACCAGAAGCAACCAACCAGCAGAUCAACUGGAUCAGUGAGGGGAGCUCCAGCAGAGGGGGACAGCAUCAUCAAGCAGCAGCACAUCAGCAGGCUCAAAACUAUGAACUUGAUGAAGUUGCACAAGGUCCUGGGAGAUGGUUGUACCCAGGAACUUGAAGAUCUUCACAGUCGACACAGGGCUGUCUGAUAUGGUGAGGGGGAGCAGAGUUGAGGGAUGUCUCCUGAAGUCCACUGUCAUCUCUACAGUCUUAAGAGUGUUCAGCUCCAGACUGUGCUGACUGCACCAGAGUACCAGCCGCUCAACUUCCUGCCGGUAUGCAGACUCAUCACCAUCCUGUGUAUGUAUCACGCCAUCGGCCCCUCUGGCCAUCACCAGUAGGCAGUAGGUGAAGUGUCUUGCCCAAGGACACAAUGACCGAGACUGUCUGAGCCGGGGCUCGAACCGGCAACCUUCCGAUUACAAGAUGAACUGCCAACUCUUGGGCCACGAUCGCCCCUGUGGUCUCCAUCCUUUUAACUCUGUGACUCUGUGGACAGAAAACACAGACACCAUGCCGUUAUUUAACGAAUCCGCCUGAAAGAACACAGUUGACACAGUGACGCAGCUCCAGAAACAACGCAAGCGACCACAGACAAGUUAUACACCUUGACAGAGUGGGCGCUCCUUGUCAUCACAGCUGAGAGGGGAUAAAAAGUCUUAAUGUUCAGCCUAAUGUGAUUAAAAAUAAUCAGAGUGCUAAAACAGAACUUUUCCCCUUUUCCCUAAAAUCUAAGUUUGAUCGACAUAUUAAUGAGAAAAGUUGUUUGAGUAGUAAAAAUGACUGUUCUAAUGUCAUUGUUGUGUGUGUGUGUGUGUGUGUGUGUGUGUGUGUGUGUGUGUGUGUGUGUGUGUGUGUGUGUGUUAGUGGCUAGAUCCACUGAUCUCAAUGAAUGCCCGACUUUUAAAUCGAUUUAAUAAAAAAGUUGUAUGAAAUAAACAGUGAAUAACAAACAGAGUUUUAAAAAGGAUGCAAUCCUCAGUAUUUGAAUUAAAAAGGGAUUAUGUUACAAUGAAUGUUCAUGUGAAAAUGUGCUAAAGACAAAUCUAAUUGAAAUAGAAUUACAUGAACUGAGGCUACGUCCACACGUACACGGGUAUUUUUGAAAACGGAGAUUUUCCAUUUUCGUUUUAAAAAAUAAUCCCGUCCACAUGUAAACGCAGAAAUGAAGGAAAACGCUGCUAAGAACAUGCCAAAGCAGCAGGUGGCGCUAGAUUCCUAACCGUGCAGAAAUGUUGGCCAAUCAGAAGUCUAGAAGCCUCGGUGGGAAAAAGUAAACAAAGCUGGGGCAUAGAAGCAGAACCGAGUCGUAUGUGUGGAGGGACAGUAACUGUGUGUAUAUGUAAGCAUUUAAACACUGCAGAGAGUAGAAUUAACAGUAACAGUAUUGUAGAAAUUCAUUUCACCGAAACAAUAACGUGGCGCACAGUGUGACGUCAAAAUAGGCGCACACCUUUGACGCUGCGUUUUCUCCGUUUUUCUCGUCCACACGUAAAUGCAAAAACGGAGUUUUCAAAAAUAUCCACCCUGGCCGGAGUUUUUAAAAAUCUUCGUUUUCAGUGACCAAAAACGCCGUUUACGUGUGGACUAAAGGUGCAAACGCAUAGAAAAAUCUGCGUUUUCAAAAAUACCCGGGUACGUGUGGACGUAGCCUUAGUGAAACAUGAAGUGAUGACCGAAUAUUUAUAUGUGAUGUGAAUUCUGUUAUGAAUGACAAAGGAAAAAUGAUGACCUGAUUUUAAAGUUUAAACUUGGUGUUAAAUCUUCUACGUCAGCUAGACAGAGAUACGAUGAUACAGUGUGGCUGGAAUGAUGGAUCUAAUGAAUGAUUAGAUGUUUGUAAUGUGACUGGAUGUCCCGAAGGGUGAAGCUGGAUUCCAUCUCUGAAGAUGUGACAUUCAGUGGCAGAGGGGGACGUAAGGGUCAGCAUUAGCAUUAGCUCAGAGUAGGUUAAUUAGAUAAGUGUAAUUCAGAUGUUUUCAUUCAUGUUUUAUGAUUUUUACUAUUUGAUUUUGCUUUUGUUUUGCUCUCACUAAAUUGCUUUAUUAAAAUUUCCUGCAGCUAAAACCUGUAAUUGUGGAUAUUCACUUUUAAAGUCUUUGUGAAAGAGUAAAACUCUUUAUCAGUGCAAAUUGCUCCAAUGCUUUACAUUACAACAUCUGAUCACCUUCCCUCAAGACUUGCUGUUCAGGCCUCUAAAGUCCCAUGACUGAUUGGGACAGUAUAGGAUUUGAUCUGCAAGGCUACUCAGGUGUGGUCAUCUUAUCAUCUUAACACGGGGGACACAUGGACAAUUUCUAGGUAGUUAGUGCUGGGCGAGUCCCCUCACCCGCAUUGGCUCCAGCUGACCUCUGCAUUAUCAACUGUCUAAGAUUCAUAGGAUGAGACAUUAGGGGUUUUAAUCACUGAAAUAUUUGCAAGUUAGCUGAGUGAUGCAAUCUGUCUUUAUAAUCUUUGUCAGACUGUGUUUGAUAAAUCUAAAGAAAUGUUUCUUACAUGCUUCAUAUUCUCUGGAGCCUAUUGACCAAUCAGCUUUCACAUGAACAUGCUUAAUGACAUAUAAAUAAAGAUAAAUAGAUAAAUAGAUUAAAAUAACAGACUAUGUAUAAUAUGCUAAACUGCUGAACAAAAUUCCCAACAUCCCCAUUCAUGAAUCAUUAUUGUUUAUUACAGUGAGUGAAAAGAAACAAUACGCUCAGCCUGAAAACAACCAAUGACAAAAGUACAGAAAGUCAUUUAUUAAUAUCAGUUCUUUGUUCCUUCCCUCAAAUACAACCCACAUGUGUGUACCCCUACAGGUGGCAGGAAACAACUUAGACUUACACUUAGAGACUUACAGCAUUGUGCAGUUUCUUGCACAGCGAAACUGGGAAACCAGAGUGAUACACCUGCUGCUGUCAGACCUGCAGGUAUCAGGCUGUGAUCUUCUCCUUUAUAGUGGACAGAAAUUUUGGGAGUGGCACAAAUAAUUUGUGUGGCAUCUUAUUGAAUGCAGAACAGCUGAUUGUUCUGUAAAUAGUUUGAAAUGGUUAUAAAAAAAAAGGGUAAAUGUCAUGGUCCUGAGUCUGACAGCUCAGUGUUUUGUGUUUCUUCAUAUUAUUCCUUGUUCUUGUUUAUUCUGUUAUGUCUUUGGGUUCGGUUUGCCAUUCGUUAGGGGCUUGUUUUGUGCCUGCCUGCUCCCACUUCUCUGUGUUCCCUCUGUCUGUCCAUGGUGUCACUGUGUCUGCUUGUGAGUCUGUCUGUUUAGUGCAGUGUCUUGUCUGGUUCUCUGUGUGAAUCUCCCUCCGUCAUCCCGUGAAUUCUGCCUGCAAGUUGCUUUCUCUCGUGUUUAGGUUUAAAUUUAAGUUGUGUUUUUUGCCACACUCCCCUUUUGUUUGUUAUCACUCGGGUUCUGUGUCAAUAAAGCUCUCUCACUUCACUGCAUAUCCGCAUCUUGGGUCCUUUGUUAAAUUCACAGUAAAAGGUAAAUGGAUGCAAAUAACUUUGUUGUUUGCAAAACUUGUGCAUAUGAUUUUAAAAUUUACAAUUUAUAUUUGCAUUUAAAGUUAUGAAAUAUGAUUCAGUAAACACGUUUGUGGUUGUUACAGUAAAAAAAAACUAUUUCUACUCGGAUUUAAUGUUUUUUGUCUGAUUUUAGACCAAUUGUGUUAAUACAGUAUGUCAAAUUGAAAACAUAAUUGUACUUUCAGACACGUGAGGUUGUGCUGAACAGAAUGAUACCAAACAAGGCAAAUAAACAGUUUUUAAAGGUGAAAUGUAGAGGAAACAUCAAAAGUAGUUUAAAAAAAUGGCCAAUUACAUCCUGGACCCCAGAGGGUUAAAUAUUUUUUUUGAAAGUAACGCAAUAGUUACUUUCAAGUAUUUAAUUUCUUUUAGAAUCUUGUAACUCAGUUACCUUUUUUGAAAAAGUAACUAGUAACUAUAAUAAUUACUUUUUCAAAAUAACUUGCUCAACACUGCUGUAGAUGUCCCUCCAAGACAUCUACAGGAAGCGGUGCCUGAGGAAAGCGGGGAGGAUCAUCAAGGACUCCAGUCACCCCAGCCAUAAACUGUUCAGACUGCUUCCAUCAGGAAGGAGGUUCUGCAGCAUCCGGUCCCGUACCAGCAGACUGAGAGACAGCUUCUUCCAUCAGGCCAUCAGACUGCUGAACACUUCAUAGACACCUCAGCUUCACUACUGGAACUUUAACAUUAUGCACUCCACACUGUAUAUAAAUGCCACUUGUUUUGCACAUAUUCAACUCUGUAUAUUUUAUAUAUUUUAUUUAUUUAUUUUUUUUUACUAUUUAAUUUGUAAAAAUGUGUAUACACACACACACACACACACACACACGUAGGACAAUAUUUAGUAUACACAUCCAGAAAUGCAUAUACUAUUAUAUAUUGUACAUAUAUUUAUUAGUUUCAGAUUAGCCAUUCUUGUAUUUUGCUCGUUUGUGUUGUUGUGUUUGCACAUCUCUGUUGCUUGUGGGGCUCGCACACAAGAAUUUCACUCGCAUGUGCUGUGUGCCUGCACAUGUGAGGUGACAAUAAAAGUGAUUUGAUUUGAUUUGAUUUGAUUUGAAGUCAGCGCUUUAAGAACAG
Long non-coding RNA from Astatotilapia calliptera (eastern happy), 5864 nucleotides. Lineage: Eukaryota; Metazoa; Chordata; Actinopteri; Cichliformes; Cichlidae. The record is from Ensembl.